AACAGAUCCCUUGUUUCCCAUGUAUCCCAUAAGUCCAACUCCAACGGGGGAGACUUGCAAAUUAUUUAUGUGCCUUCUCAACCUCCUACGCACCCAAAUAGAUACAUAUAUCCCGACCAUCUGUUUGCUAACAAUACGGAUAUACCUCGGAUGUGAAUACACAGCAUGUUUUAGAAGCGAUGUUUCAUCUUUGAACCCUGUGAAUUCCUCGAAGAGAUCAUUUUCCUCGUCAAAAAGUUGAUCGGAGCCAUCAGAAAGAGCAUCAAGAACUUCAGGUUCCUCUUGUUGAUUCGUCCACAACGAUCCCAAAUCUUCGGUGCUUUGAUGCCCUCUUUUUAACCUGCUACCAUCUAAUCCAACAUCAUAAUUGCAAAAAGCAAGAGCACGGCUGCUCGAUACUCUCCUCAACUUAAAAGUCGAAGAAAGGACCUGAGGUGUUGCAUCGAGUGAACGUUCAGGCCAAUCCAAUCGACUAUCACAAUCAAUGCCAUAUAUUCUCUUUAAUUGCAAGUUCCUCCUCAGGUUGAUCAUGUUAUCUUCAGUGAAGCACGUGGUGUCCAUCGACACUUCUGCCAUUAUAUCUAGUGCAGUAGUAGUAGUUACCACACCAGCAAUUAUAUCAGCUGCAGGAGAAGUCCUUAACACCGGAGACGGUGGAGCACUGUAACUCUUUAGCUUAGCCUCAGGCUCCACUGUCUUUCUGUUUAACGUUCUGCGUAUGAUCGUCUCCCAUUUUGGAAUUGGCCUUCUAUUUUCUGCUCCCAGUACAUUCCCAGCAUUUAGAGGAACUACCUCUUGGAAACCAAGGAUGUAUAUAUCAGCUGGUUCAUUCAUACAAAGCCACUCAUCAAUCUCGAGAUCCUCAUCUGGAAGUCUUCCAGCAACAUUCCA
RNAcentral lists this unclassified non-coding RNA (891 nucleotides) under Hevea brasiliensis (rubber tree). Lineage: Eukaryota; Viridiplantae; Streptophyta; Magnoliopsida; Malpighiales; Euphorbiaceae. The record is from RNAcentral.